Molecule: long non-coding RNA, 8244 nt
Organism: Brachypodium distachyon (stiff brome)
Lineage: Eukaryota; Viridiplantae; Streptophyta; Magnoliopsida; Poales; Poaceae
Exons: 2
Source: RefSeq, a predicted model, not a curated record
UUCCUCUGGGCCGGAGCCCAUAUAUCUCUUCCCGUCGCUCGUCUUCCUCCUCGCGCACAGGACUCCAGUAGCGCAAGCGCCGCCACCGCCGGUUGAUCUCCCCUUCGAUUCUCUCUCGCUCCCGACCGUUUCUCCUCCCAUCACCCCACGAACGGAUUCCGCCCUUUAGCUCCCCGUUUCAUCUCCUUAAUCUCCCCCAAUUCGUAACCGAGGCAAAAAUACCUUGCCCUACUGGGUCCUCCGCCCGUGAGAACCCUAUCUAGCUAGCUAGCUAGCUUUGCUUCGAUCGACUGUGAGGCCACCGCGAAUGCCUUCCGUUGGCUCCUCGGAGCAUGCCACCCCGUUGGUCCUCGCUCGCCGGUGGCCGAUGAUCGCGUCGAUCGAAACCGCGUCCCUGUUUUAAAACGGCGGCGAUGAGGGAGGGACACGCGCUGGCUCCGGACCGGCGGCGGACGCACCGGAUCGUCGCUUCUCGGAGCCACUCCGCCCGCCCACACCGCCCGCGCAUCGGCUCGGCUUGGAGGCUCCUCGGGGUUGCCGCCGGUGUCGAUGGUGUGUGCGGCGGGUGCGGGCUGGGGACCGAGCUAGCGGCGGGGGUCCGUGGCGGGUUCCGGUCGAGGGUUUGGUCGGCCACCGCGGAAUCUGAGCCGCCGUUGAUGGAUUUCUCGCAGUUUCGUUGCAUUUGGCUUUGGAUUCGGUGCGUUUCCCAUCUCUCCCUCUCCCUCUCUCUCUCUCGCUCUCUCUCUCUCUCUCUCACAGUUCACACCCCAAAACCCAAACCCUAAACCAAAUCGGUCGAGCUCUCGUCGCCGACCAGCCGAACCAUCGUCCGAGUGGCCACUGCGUCAGCCCACUGCUACGGUGCCGCCAGCCACCGCCGUUCCAUUGCCUUGCAUUGGAUUCGGUUGUGGGCCUUGUGGCAAGGGCUGGGAACCGUACAGUGUUGUCUGAUGCGUGCUCCUAGUUGGGGUGUGGUAACUGGUCGGUCGAAGCGAGAUUUGAGCAGCUCCUGAUCAGUCCUGAUCGAUGGAUGGAUGUACGUAUGCAUGCACGGAUAUCAUGGCGAAGUUGCUCUGUGCGCAUGCCAUGAUGCAGAGGCCGGAAUUGGUUGGUUCGAUCCCUUACCAUCUCCUCUGCCGCCGCCGCAAUCUCCUCCUCAUGCUUGUCCCUUUGUGUUGCCGUGCCGUGCUCUGCUGUGCUAAGAAAUGGAAUCCUUACAAGGGGCGAUGAUGUUGAACUGUGGCUGAAAUAAGCAUGCCUUUUGAGCAAUUGAGACAGCUGUGGCCUUUGGGUACUAUCAAUUCGGAGCCUGCCCUCAUAUCUCUUGCAGCCUGUUCAAUCACUUGCUAAUGUUGGAUGUUCUGCCUCGGAUGGUCAUUCUGUGAGUGAUAACCAGCGCAGCUCCACUUACGAUACGUUGUGCAGACUAUGCAGCAAGAGAUGUGAGGGUCAGGCUUGAUGACGAAGCCAAAGCAAAACUGAGCCCACUCAAUGCAGUUUCACUAUUCUGUGGUUCGCUUGCUGUGAGGGUCGUACCUUGUUGAAGUGUAUAAGUGGAUCCUAGCCCUUUCCAUCAGCUCGGUCUUUUGGUUGCGUUGGCUAGCACAUGAAGUUUGACAGUACCUAGAUUGAUGUCUUCUCUUGGUGACAAACCCAAUCCUAGCUUGCUUGGAUUGUUUUUUUUUGCUGCGAGCAGUCUAGUCCAAAUAUUAUUUCUGAAAAGGAUGCUCUAUUCCAUCCAGAUUGCUGCCAACUUUGGUGCCGACUCAUCUUCUGAGUAGUUGCCGUGUCAGUUGCCCACCGAUAAGGUGCCGCCAGCUUCUGCCAUUUCAUUGCUUGGAUUUGGUUGUAGCAAGGCUGGGAACCUUACAGUUUUAUCUGAUGCGGCACAUAGAACUAUCUCGUUUAUAGGAGCCUAUUCUAUCAUUUCAAUGUUGGUAAUUCUGUGCCUAGGAUGGUCAUUCUAAUGAGCGACAACCUUCGUAGAUCUGCUUAGAUUGCGCAACAAGAACUGUGAUGGUUGGGUUUAUAUAAUGAACCAAAGGCGAGUGAGGCCUCUCAGGUUGAGUUUGCGGUUGAUGAAAUGUGCUGUGUUGAAAUUAUUUUACAGUAUGCUAUGGAAAAUAGCCACAGAAGCAGGUAAAAUGUUGGUUAGCCAAAUGGUAAAAUAGGCAAAAGUUGGUUAGAAAAACUGGCCACAUGCAGUGCCAAACGCAGUCUCAAUGCUAUUUCAUUAUUAUGAUACUUCUGUUUGGUAUAUUUUGAACCCCCGUUAUGAAUGAGAGCGUGUGGGAUCUGGUCAGAUGCUUUAUUUAAAGAGUGGAAUACUGAUGGUGAGCGAUGAUGAGCUUUUCUGAAAAACAUGAUAUUGAGCAAUCGUGACACCUGUGGGUGUGAAAUUAUACCUGACCUUCUUUUUUUCUUGGAGCAUAUUUCAAUUAUUUACUAAUAUUGGUGGUUCUGUGUCCAGGAUGUCCCCAGUGAUAACCAAUGCAGCUUCACUUCUAUUAGUAUGAGUAGAUUGUGAAGCAAGAAAGUAUGUUUGGCAUAAUUCUGCAUCAAGUAACAAUAACAUCGCAGUUGAUCUUUGAUGUGUUAUUUUAUUCGGAUAGACUGUCCACCCAGUGCCGCUGCCCACUUCUGCUAAGGCUUGGCAGAUGUUUUGACUAUUUUUAUGGAUGGCAAUGAUGAAUAUGGCCCAUUCAGAGAUAUGUGGAGAAACUAAGAUAACAUUCCGAAGUUUGAUUUAGGGUUUUGGGUUUAGGAUUGUUGGUGUGUGUAUCUCUAUUAUACUUGCAAAAUGGACGCAUUCAAAUAGGACGGUUUGCACAUUGUGAGCAACCAUUUGAAUGCAGUGUCACAUAGGGGUGUCAGCAGGUCGGAUAUGGAAUGGAUAUCAUGGGAAAACAACAUUUGUUCUCUUACAUUUUGUUUGGGUAACUUUUUUUCUCGUAAAUUUGAUGCUAUUGCCGGUUCUAUUUCUGGGUUAACAAGACAAUGUCUUGUUGGUAUGUUAACUUCGCCACAUGCUUCUCCAGAGGCGAAGUUAUGAUCUGCCAUAUCUGCGUAAAUUUCAACCGCUUCUUUGGUUGCCAGUAGUGCGGUCAUCAGUGCAGUGUUUUGAAUAACUUCAGAACACAUUAUAUCUGUUUCCUUUCCUUGAUGUGUUAUGUUCUGUUCUCGAAUGGCUAUGAUGAUUAUUUGCCCUUUGGUGUUGGAGAUCUUGUAACACAUGGGCCGGAGAGGCGGAGAUCUUUUCACAUCUCCUAAGUUGGUUCCUUCCAUGCAAAGUUGCCCAGUUAAACAGUUGGUCGUGAUACUAGGAGGCCUUGCCCUGCAGCAAGUUACCAGUUGCGGCUAUUUGUUGCUGGUGCUGUUUGUAUGGGGAGAGAGAUAGAGAUAUAUAUAUUUGUAUUGCACCUUGUUAUUACCUUUAGCAUUUUCCAACUUUUGUGAUUAAUAGUGGGGUCAAUCUGAGCUAUUCAAGUAGUAUUCCCAAAAGAGAUGGCCUGGCGCUAAAACUGUAAGUUGCAAUUGUUGUGUUAUUGUUAUUCCAUUGCUAUUUGACUUCUAAAAAUUUUAUACUUACAUUUUCCGACUCAAGGACUAUAGGGUGCAAGCUCAGAUAUUGUUUCCUUUCUGUCAUGUUCAUGAAUGGCUGUGAUGAUAAUAAGAUGAUAGCUGCCCCGUGAGAGCUUCUAACACCUGCAUUAGUUCUUUGUGUUUUACUAAGUUUGGUGCUAAACUAGGAGGGCUUGUGUCAACAGCAAGUAUAUAGCUUAGCUGCUCUGUUACUCUUAAAUGAUCCGUUUGACAGUGUACGCAGAGGGAGGGAGUACACGCCCCUAUUUUUGUGUACACCAGGAUUGUGAUAGUGAUUUUUUGUUCCUUUGUUUGUUCUCUUGUGAUUUGUCUAUUCCAUUUCAGGUUCCUAUGUUAUUCCUUUUAGUACUGGAUGGUUUGUGCAAGGUUUUGUUGACGGCGAUGAUGAGUUUGGCUCAUUAAGAGGUACAUACAGAACACUAAGAUGCCAUUGCUCAAUCUUAUGGGUAUGGUUUAGGGUUAGGGUUUUGGUGUGACUAGUUGGAAGCAUGCAAAUUGGGAUGGCUGCUUUCGGUGAGCAACCAUUUGAAUGCAGAAACUGUCACUGGGUGUAAACAGACUGGAUACUCAUUUGCUUUCACAUGUGUAGAGGGCACGUGUCAUAUGAUUGAUGAGCCAACGCUGAGCUUUCUAUUCUCUUGAUAAAACCUUUAUUUUGAAAAUUUUUGCUUGCCCUAAUACUAACUUGCACGAAUGUGCUUCUGUGUAUUUUUGGUCAUUAUCGUUUUGAUUCUUGCUAAAUUUAAUUUAUUAAUGAUGUGCCUGUAUGGAUCUCACUGUCUGAUACUCUGAUGUACUCCCUCCGAUCCAUAAUAAGUGCCGGGAUACUCGUAUGAAGUGUCGGCGAUUUAGUACAAAGUUGAGUAUGAUAUUGUUUAUGACACUUUUGAGAUAUGUUCAGAACUGGUUGGUGAACAAUUUUUUGCGUUCCCUUAUGCUUGUUUUCAAUACUUCAAUGACAGGUUUUGUGAUUGGUCACAAUGGGAUCCUUUGCACUUGCUUGUGUACAUCCUUUGCACUUGCUUGUUCUAUUCCUUGUCCCAGGCUCCCAGCAUGCACCUUUUCAGUUUGUUUCUGCAUUCCUAUGUACCUUCACUGCUAGUGUUCCUUGGUGUGUUCAUGAACAGUAUAGUACUGUAUUAUCUAGUCUGCCAUGCACAAGAUUGCUCCAAGAAAACAAUUGAUUUCUGUCGCUUUAUAACCUGUAGAAAUUUCCAUUUCUUUUCUGUACAUCUCUGUGGAAGCUGACUCUGGUGGGAAUAUUUUUGUAGAAACAGGUACUUUGUUUUUUACUGCAUAAUCUGGUAAUUGUUUUUUUAGAACUACUCCCUCCGUCUCAUAUUAAGUGACUCAAAUUUGUCCAAAUAUGGAUGUAUCUAUGCCUAAAAAGUGUCUACAUUCAUGUAAUAGGAAAUCACUUAAUAUGGGACGGAGAGAGUACUUUUUUUAUGUCUUUGAUUGAAGGCAAUAGGAUCUGAAUUGAUUAUUUGACAGAAGCCGCAUGGCUUUUUGUCUUGUUACUUGUGGGCUGACCUAUAAAAUGGCCCACUCCAAUGCAAUUAUACAGGUACCCAAGCAAAUUGUGCAAUGUUUACUAUCUGUAUUUUAGGACCUCUUUGGUUCACAGGAUUUUCAAAUUCUGGAGUGGGGACGGACCAGCGAUGCGAGGAAUCGAGUGGUACCAUUACCACCACCUUUGCAUUCGCUGUGUGCAGAGGUCGGCUCUUCCAUCGUCUAAAUUUUCCAAAAAAAAAAUCUUGGUCCUAUCCCUAAAACUGGUUUUCGGGGACCUGCUAGAGAUGAUCUAAGUAAACCCCACCUCCGUUGCAAAUGCUGGAGACUUGGGAGUGAUGGAUGGCUAUUUUGGCUGUUCAUAUUUUCUUUCAUGCGAAUCACUGCUGUCACUAUCUGUGGCGGAGCUUAAAAGAAUAAAAUGACCCAUCGCCCCCUUCAUGGUCAAGUUGUUGUUGUUUCUGCUGCAGUUACUGCUGCUCUAUCUCUUUGAUUGCGAAAUGGAAUCCUAUGAGGGGCAAUGAUGAUCAACCAUGGCUGAUGUAGGCACGUCCUCGAGCAAUCGAGGCACCUGUGGGUAUCAAGUUGGUUUCUCCCUUCUCUCUUUGAACCUUUUCGGCCAUGUGCUACUUUUGGUGUCUCUGUCCUUGGACGGUCAUUCCUGAUGAGUGAUAACCAGGGCAGAUUCACUAAAGUAAGAACUGGUUGAUCUGGUGACAAGAUGAUGGGGAUACUGUUAUAUGAAUGAGCAAAGGCGAAUCUGAGCCCACUACAAUGUGCAGAUAGAUGGCUAUUUUGGCUGCGAAAUUUUUAUUUGUAUACCGGAAAUCAUUGCUGUCAACAUCAGUGGCGGAGCUUGAACUGACAAAUUGAUCCACCGUUGCUGCUGCUGCUGCUGAUCUAUCUCUUUGAUUAAGGAACAGAGAUGUUGAUUUUUAAAGACUAUGAUGGAGCUUUUAGUUCUAUAGCGGAUUUUUGUUGCCUAUGUUCGUUUCGAUUGUAUCGAUCUAUUGUACUCCCUCCUAUCCAUAUUAAGUGUCGGGGAUUUGGUACAAAGUUAGUACUCUCUCCACUACUGACUCUCUCUCUGCCGUUGCUGUUGCUUCUGCUGCUGCUGCUGCUUUAUCUCUUUGAUUAAGGAACCAAAACCUACGAGGGGCAAUGAUGAUCGACCCUGGCUGAUAUAGGCACGCCCUUGAGCAAUCGAGGCACCUUUGGGCUUUGGGUAUCAAGUUGGAUCAUCCCUCCUCUCUUGAGCCUUUUCGAUCUAUGUGCUAAUUUUGGUGUUUCUGUCCUUGGAUGGUCAUUCCUGAUGGGUGAUAAUCAGGGCAGAUUCACUAAAGUAAGCACAGGUUGAUCUGGUGACAAGAUGUUGGGGGUAGGGUCGUAUGAUCGAACAAAGGCGAAUCUGAGCCCUCUCCAAUGCGAAUCAGUGGCGGAGCUUGUACUAACUUUGUACUAAAUCCCCGACACUUAUUGUGGAUCGGAGGGAGUACUUUCUUUUAUGAAUCAAUAAAGGCAGAUCCUUGUUCUAAAAAAAAGGAACAGAAUGCUACGAGGGGCAAUGAUGUUCGAUCCUGGCUGAUAUAGGCGCGCCCUUGAGCAAUCAAGGCACCUUCGGGGCAGAUUCACUAAAGAACAGGUUGAUCUGGUGGCAAGAUGUUGGGGGUAGGGUUAUAUGAUCAAACAAAGGUGAAUCUGAGCCCACUCCAAUGCAAUUAUACGGGUCCCCAAGCAAAUUGUGUAAUGUUUUCCUAAAAUAUUUGUUUAUUUUAGGGCCUCUUUGAUUCACUGGAUUUUAAAAACACAUUGAAGGAAUUAUGCAGGAUUAUAAUGUCAUGCAUUCUUGAUAAGGGCGAUGAUGUUUGACCAUGACUGAAAUAAGCAUGCCUUUGAGCAAUCAAGGCACUGGUGGUUAUCAAGUGAUCUUCCCUUCUCUCUCUAGAGCCUUCUUGAUUCUGUGAUACUGGUGGAUCUGUCCUUGGACGGUUAUUCUGUUUGAAUGAUAACCAGGACAGCUCCACUAAUGUAAGAACGUGUUUAUCUGGUGAUAAGACAUGAUAGCGCUGGACUUAUAUGAUGCAGCAAAGGCGAUCCUGAGUCCAUUCCAAUGCAAUUUACAGUUUGUAUUUUGUCUGUGUUCACAAUGUUCUCAUCCCUUUGUUUCAUACAUUGUGCCUUGUUCUUUUUCAUAUCCUGUUGCAUCUUGUGCAGUACAUCAAAUGUUCGCAUUUUUUCUAAGUGAUUUUUGCUGAAUUGCUCUUAGUUAUGUAUGUAGUCAAUUUGUUAUCACCUUUCAUAUGUGGUGUAAAUCGUGUGCAUGCAGCAUUUCCCCUAUUUUUCAUUGCAGUUAAUUCGUGUAUGUUGAUAUGGUCCACUUUCCUCUAGUGCAAGAUGUUGCCUUUCUACUUAUUAUCUGUCCUGUUUGUCUUACCAGUAAUAUGUUAUUUCAACACCACUAGUUUUCUUUGUUCUUUCUGCUGGUUACUGUGAGCCAGGACCGACUAUUGAAUAUUCUUUUGAUGACUUGCAUAUCUCAUGAAUCCUAAGGGAAUCAAACUACUUCAUCAAAGUUUCCUAUUGGCACAGAUGCACGACGUGCAAAAACCAAAAAGAAUGUAUAGCCCUGAUGAGUUCUGAUGUUCUAUUAUGUACUCCCUCCAUCCCAAAUUAACUGACAUGGAUUUGUAUAGAUUCUUAUAUAAAUUCACGUCAGUUAAUUCGGGACGGAGGGAGUAGUAAGCAUGCCUGUGAACAAGGUAUGGAGCUUGUAAUAUGAACUCAUUCUCUCUGGAGGCCUGUUUAGGGCAUAUGUUUGUGCUGGUUUCGCUGUAGUCUGGUCAAUCCUAUAAUGAUUGCAGCAUGCUUCUAAUACACCUGUUUGGUUGCUUCCAAGAGGAUAUGAGCAUUAGAGGCAGACCGUGAGAACAUUAAAUGACAUAGCCUGGAAUGUCAUUUUGUUAAACUAGCACAGUUCCAUUUUUUAUGAAUGUUUGACCAUGUAGAAUCAAUUUGAUGCACAGAUUGGGCUUAUGUAUCUAACCAUCAAUUGUAAAGCUGAACCCAAUGCAACUGACACAGUACUACCAUACAAGCUAUGAAUAAUAUUGUCCCUCGUUCUUUGUUUCA